AAUAGAUACCCGGGUAGUCCAUGCCGUAAACGUUGGGCACUAGGUGUGGGGCUCAUUCCACGAGUUCCGUACCGCAGCAAACGCAUUAAGUGCCCCGCCUGGGGAGUACGGCCGCAAGGCUAAAACUCAAAGGAAUUGACGGGGGCCCGCACAAGCGGCGGAGCAUGCGGAUUAAUUCGAUGCAACGCGAAGAACCUUACCAAGGCUUGACAUGCACGGGAAGCCACCAGAGAUGGUGGUCUCUUUGGACACUCGUGCACAGGUGGUGCAUGGUUGUCGUCAGCUCGUGUCGUGAGAUGUUGGGUUAAGUCCCGCAACGAGCGCAACCCUCGUCCCAUGUUGCCAGCGGGUUAUGCCGGGGACUCAUGGGAGACUGCCGGGGUCAACUCGGAGGAAGGUGGGGAUGACGUCAAAUCAUCAUGCCCCUUAUGUCUUGGGCUUCACGCAUGCUACAAUGGCCGGUACAAAGGGCUGCGAUACCGUAAGGUGGAGCGAAUCCCGAAAAAGCCGGUCUCAGUUCGGAUUGGGGUCUGAC
Molecule: ribosomal RNA, 535 nt
Filed under: uncultured bacterium
Lineage: Bacteria
Description: bacterial SSU rRNA
Rfam family: Bacterial small subunit ribosomal RNA
Source: RNAcentral